Long non-coding RNA from Vicia villosa (hairy vetch), 966 nucleotides. RefSeq lists it as uncharacterized. The transcript is spliced from 4 exons. NCBI's taxonomy places the organism in Eukaryota, Viridiplantae, Streptophyta, Magnoliopsida, Fabales, Fabaceae. The record is from RefSeq and is a predicted model, not a curated record.
ACUCUUCACAUCCCAUUCUCAGACUCUCUUUUCUCGGUCUUCCCUCUCUCGGACAAACCUUCCUCGCCGGAAAUCGCUCCGCCGUGCCGGAGGCGGCGGAGCUUGGCCAAAUCUAGAAAUCAUGACCUCGUUACAAACCUCUCUUCACCUUCUAUCAGAAUCUGGCCUCAAUUUCGCCUGAAAGAGGCUCCCUCGUCUCAAAUCGAGUGAGGGAUUACGAACCCUAGUUUGUGCAAACCUCCCUAAUAGAGCGGAGUUUGAGCUAUUUGCGAGCGAUAAGCAAGGGAACGUGACAAACAAUAUGGAACAACGCUAAAGCAGGGUAGAAUUGGGAGUUCGACGCCACUUACCUACCGGAGCAGUUCCGGUGACUCUUCGACGGCUGGCAAAAUAAACCCGAGGGAUACUUCAAUUCAGAUGCAGCUGGAGUUUAUUUUGGUGGGAGCAAGUUGGCAUAGUGAAAACGAAGAAGCUUGGAUCAUUUCGAGUUAGCUUCAAAGGGCUGUUUUGACAUAAAUUCUAUUUUGGAAUGCCCUUUUUUCUGGAAUCUGUAUGUUUAAAAUGUGUAGCCUGGGUGUUUGGUUAUUGUAAUGUGCAGGUUACACUCGGUUAGAAAUGUUAGAAGUUGAAGGCUCCUGUCAGUUGCAAUGUGAAAUAUGAGCUGAAGGGCAUGACUUUCAAAUAUGAAUUUUGAUGAAUGAUCGGGUUCAUGAUGGCCUGGUGGGUCUGGAUGGAGCUUAUAUGAAGGCAAAUGAUGAACCUUCAAUGAAGAAAGCUAGAUAUUCAGGAAGGAAACUGGAGGUUGGAGGGAAAUAAGCUUUAGAUUCUGUUCCAUAGGUCAAACUCCAUUUUUUUAAUGUUGUAAUGAUAUGAUUGGAUUUUGAACAUGUAUUGAAAUAUUUGCUUGUAAUGUGUUUGACCGCGAAAUUAAGUUUAAAUUCCUUCUCCAAAUGAAAUAUGAAUUAA